AUCCAGUUGACGAGUCCCAAACAGGACGAAAUGUGCAUCCUGGAU
This 45-nucleotide non-coding RNA is filed under the name Trichobilharzia regenti. The record is from RNAcentral. Lineage: Eukaryota; Metazoa; Platyhelminthes; Trematoda; Strigeidida; Schistosomatidae.